Molecule: ribosomal RNA, 459 nt
Filed under: uncultured bacterium
Lineage: Bacteria
Description: partial 16S ribosomal RNA
Rfam family: Bacterial small subunit ribosomal RNA
Source: RNAcentral
AACGAACGCUGGCGGCAGGCUUAACACAUGCAAGUCGAACGUGAAGCCACCUUCGGGUGGUGGAAAGUGGCAGACGGGUGAGUAACGCGUGGGAAUCUACCUAAUGGUACGGAAUAACUCAGGGAAACUUGAGCUAAUACCGUAUGUGCCCGCAAGGGGAAAGAUUUAUCGCCAUUAGAUGAGCCCGCGUCGGAUUAGCUAGUUGGUGGGGUAAUGGCCCACCAAGGCGACGAUCCGUAGCUGGUCUGAGGGGAUGAUCAGCCACACUGGGACUGAGACACGGCCCAGACUCCUACGGGAGGCAGCAGUGGGGAAUAUUGGACAAUGGGCGAAAGCCUGAUCCAGCCAUGCCGCGUGAGUGAUGAAGGCCCUAGGGUUGUAAAGCUCUUUCGACGGGGACGAUAAUGACGGUACCCGUAGAAGAAGCCCCGGCUAACUUCGUGCCAGCCGCCGCCGUAA